AUUGAACGCUGGCGGCAGGCCUAACACAUGCAAGUCGAACGAGUGGCGGUCGGGUGAGUCAUGUCUGGGAAACUGCCUGAUGGAGGGGUAUAACUCCUGUAAACGGUAGCUAAUACCGCAUACAAUCAGAUCUGCCCCGACGGGAUUAGCUAGGUGGUGGGGGAACGGCUCAUCAUGGCGACGAUCCUUAGCUGUACUGAGAGGAUGACCAGCCACACUGGGACUGAGACACGGUCCAGGCUCCUGCGGGAGGCAGCAGGGGGGGAUAUUGCACAAGUGGCGGAAACCGGAUGCGGCCAUGCCGCGUGUAUGAAGAAGGCCUUCGGGUUGGAAAGUCCUUUCGGCGGGGGGGCGCUACCCGCAGAAGAAGCACCGGCUUACUCCGGGCCAGCCGCCGCGGUAAUUC
Molecule: ribosomal RNA, 406 nt
Filed under: uncultured bacterium
Lineage: Bacteria
Description: partial 16S ribosomal RNA
Rfam family: Bacterial small subunit ribosomal RNA
Source: RNAcentral